This 12153-nucleotide long non-coding RNA is filed under the name Coffea arabica (coffee). RNAcentral describes it as "long non-coding RNA (CARA_LNC000999)". Lineage: Eukaryota; Viridiplantae; Streptophyta; Magnoliopsida; Gentianales; Rubiaceae. The record is from RNAcentral.
GAGAAUGCAGCUGGGGAUUUGUCGAAUGCAGAGUCCGAAGAAUACGCAGCAACUUUCUCGGUGUUCUAAAAUGUUUAAAGACAGGAGAUCGAAUUUUAUUCCACUUCUUAGGAAACUAUGAUGUAUUAUAGCUGUGUUUUUUCAAUCUGCGUGAGAAUUCUCUAGCCAUUCUCUCUUCCUUAAAUUUUCUUGAGAUUUAAUCUCUAUCCUAGUAAAUACUUUGGUCCUGCAACUCUCCAGCAAAUAUGUUCAUGCAGCUAAUUUAUGUUCAGCUAAAAGAAUUGAAUCGCCCACAUUAGCUGGCUCGGUGCUUGUACUUUGUACAAGUUUAAAUUGCUCGAUCAAGUUUCUCGAGAACCAUAGAAAAUGGUUAAAAAGUCCAGGGGCUAAUUUCUUAAUAUUAUGAAAGUUUCAUGGAGAAAAGCUUUACAAAAAAUUUUCUGUCAUCACUAGUCGACCAAUCGAAAAGUUGUGCCUCUACAAAGUUUUUGGCAUUUAGCUUAACAGUAAUUAGUUCGUAUUAAAUGAUCUAUUGCUUUGAGCGUCGUAUCAACCGUAGGAAAAUUGGGAUCCAAGACUUCCCUCCCGUUUACACUUUUCUGGUUCCAAACGUAGGCAGAGCAUGCAUCCAUGUGGCACAAUUCCUACAUUUCAAGAUUCAUCUUGUACAUUCUUUUCCAAGGUCGACUGAUGAGGCCCUAAUGUUAUAGAAAUUCAUAAAAUUUUAACCAAAAUUUGGAUCAAAUGAAAGUCAUCUAGUAAUAAUUAAUAUGUAGUAAGGAAAUUAGAUCAAGCAGACCUUAAUUUAAUAAUUAAAAUUAAAAUAAUAAGAAUUAGAAAUCCUGAAUUCAAAUCUCUCUUUUCCUCCCCUUCUCAAAUUUGACCUUUCCUUUGCUUAAAAAAAAUGUAAUAAGAAAACUAGUAAGCAAUCAUAUCAUGGGGUUAUGCACUUUGUACGAAUCGCUCAAUCCUUUAAUAUUUAUAACCACAAUAUCACAUUUUUUUUAUAUACAUAAAAGUUUAGAUGGUUCCACUCUAAUUAGCACCACGAAUCAUAGAUCAAGAUAUAUUUCUGAAAUUAUAAAUCGUUUACAAAUCGUUUAUUAAUACAGUCAUCACACAUACUUUUAUAAAGAAAAAUAAUCUGUCCUUACUAGUUGCACCAACUCAAUCGGCACCAGAAUACCGCAUCACUAUUCACUACUUGGCCAGACGGGAUCCUCUGUCCAUUAUUUUCUGUCCACUUUCCUGUCCAAUAUAAAACUAUGUAGUUCCACUUAAUAUAUCUACUGAUGUGGCACAUAAAAAAGAAAGACUUUUUGACUACCUUACACCAGAAAGAAAAAAAAUUGUUUUGUUGAAGAACUUCUUUCAAUCUUCUAGGCAGAAAACAGUGGCAACAGGUUUUGGGAAUUGUAACCGUAGCAAUAGGGUUUUGGGAAUUGUAAUAAAGUUGUGUAAACAAAAGAAACCCAGAAAAGAAAAAAGAAGAAGAAGCAUAAGGCAGUCAAACAGCCUUUCUUUUUUAUGUGCUAUAUCAGCAGAUAUAUUAAGUGAAACUACGUAAUUCUCUGCAUUGGACAUAAAAAUAAAUAUAAAAUAUUGGAUCGAGAAUCCAGCCUAAGUGUGAAGUCUACUGGCACGCGUAGCGUAACUUUACCAACAAAACAACUGCCCCAUUCGACAACAAGCAUCCGUGCGAGACCGCUGAAAAUGGAGGCACAAGACCGUGGCUGACCAAAACCCCGAGAAAUUCUAGAACUGAGUGACAGAAGCACUGACGAACGCCCUACUCCAGCCUGCACAGUCUUGGAAUUAAAAAUUCAACAACUUGUACUCAGUUUCAGGAGUUUCAGGUGUAAUAUUUUUUUUUUUUCUGAAACAAUAAGUGAUUUUAUUAAUAUUGUGUAAAAACUAUAUAUAUUUAGCGGGCAAAAGUUCAGUUAGAGGCUUAGAGCUAUACAAGUGCACUAUGACACUAAGGGUUAAGCCACUCUUCACCCAAAAAGCAAAAAUAUGCUUAGCUCAUAAUUGCUAAUAUGUGUCAGCUCUAUCACUAACUUCAUUUCUAGACAAAACAAAUGAACAUUUCACGAACAUAGAGCCUAAGCUACUGAUGAUGUCUUCUAAGUGGGAGUAUAAACUCAAUUUUCUAGAGUUCGGGUAUAAAAGAUGUGCCUUCUUGGGCUAAAUGCUUGAUAUUCAUACUUGACCAUAAGAAAUUACUCAUAACUGUUUGAGUUUGACACUGUAACAAAACUUUGAAUCUUGCGAGACUGGCAUUACAGAAUAGGAUAGGUACAAUUUAGCGUCGGUCUGUAUACUGAUCUCGUGUAAUUUUGUGAAUUACCUAUGUAAAAAUUGAUGUAUUACCCAACAAAAAAAUAUUGAUUCAAAUAUGUGUAGAAUUUAUUAGUUUACAUCAUACAGUCUCCACAAAAAAAUAUAAAACUGAAACCUAAGAUAUUUAGCACAACAAAUAAAGUUCGCAUUUUUAGAAAACUCGCACUAGUCCUCUCCCUCCACGUGAUCUCGUUUUAAAUUCUACUUAAGUUGUGCAAUCUGCAGUUAUUUGAUUCAGGGUAAAUUAUACUUUACCCUCUUGUGAUUUAAAACAGUUUUAUACAAUCGUUUUAUGAUUUUAAAAAUUAUACAUAACCUUCUCAUGAUUUGAAUUAUAAUGUCAAAAUGACAAAAAUUCUACUUUGUAACAAAAUAAGCUAAAAUGUCAACAUUACCCACUUUUAGAAGUUGAAAUAGCUAAAGUUGCCAAGGUGUAAAAUGUACUAUAGAAUACACUUUACCCCCCCGGGGUGGUUUAUUGUUUUCUCAUAUAAUUCUCUUAUAAUUUUUUUAAAUUUAUACAUAAUCUCCUAUGAUUAAUAAAUAAUUUUGAUUUUGACAUCAAAUAUUUUUAGUAAUUUAGUAGUAGAGGGCAAGUUCGGUCUUUGACUCCUUAAUCCAAAUUAUGCAGGAGUUGUGUAUAGUUUUUAAAACGAUACGAGGGUUAUGUGAAAAUUUUCAUGUUCAAAGGGAUAAAGUGUAAUUUGCCCUUUGAUUGAAUUGAAGAAUGUAAGGGCUGUGUAGCAGAACUCUGGGCUAUGGCUUUUGGACUUGAGCUAGCAUGGGAACUGAGAUUGAGGAAAGUGACCUUAGAAUCAGAUUCACGGAUGGGAUUGCAGCUGGUGAAAAUAUGCUCCCAAGAUGGCCCUCACUUUAAUCUAAUCCGAAGGAUAAGAGGUGCCAAGAACAGAGAAGGGGGUUGUCAACUGAAGCACACGUGGAGACAGGAAUUGCUGCGCUGACCAUCUAGCGAAAAUCAGCCUGGAUUUAAGCCCGGGAUGGAGGAAGCUUGAAGAACCCCCACCAUCCUUAAGAUCUUUCCUAAGCCAUGAUGUAAUGGGUGUUAGCCAAGCUAGACUAGUCUCUCUGUAGACCCAAAAAAAAAAAAAAAAAAAAAAGAAUCGAAGAAUAUAUAAUUGUCAAAGGAUGCAAUUGGUUGUCCAAAGAAACAAUCUUGGAUCCAACAUAAUUUAAGAGGACAAACCACAAUUCACCCAAGGAAAGAGAUGAGAAUGAUAUCCCAUAUCAAUCUCGAGAUUCUUCAAAUCUCUACCAUGAACUCUGCUGCUUUUUGAUUAAGGAUGAUUCAAAUGAUUCAAUAUGAUAGUCUAUAAGUGAGUACACAGCUUUUCCACACACUGGCGCGUAGAAAUUAUGGUGAUGUACAAAUAAGGUACAUAUUGUUGUAACAACAUGAAAUCUUCACACUACAUUUGUAUUGCUAAUGCUACUUAACCAGUUACGGUAAGGAGAACAAAUUUUCUAAAUAUUCGCUUUCAAGAUUUGGAAAUUGUAAUAAGUUGAUGUCACUCAUAGCAGCUUCUUCCCAAUUUGCCGCUGAAAUCUUUGCAGAUUGAGCAUUGUUGAUGAAAGAGUCCUCAUUUUCGUCCCAUUCUCUUAAUACCCUUUUUCUAGAAUUAGACAUGAUUUCACCACAAGUAACUGAAGCACUUGUAGCAGUAUCAUUAGUCUGACAAGAAGUUGCUGAUGAAUCCAUGUAAUCUUGUGGAAUAGAUUUACACGUUCCCAUGGCUUCCGCAACUGUUUCAAGUGGGAAGUUAAGAUAUGCCUUGGGACCUCUGAUUUUCAGUGCAGCCUUGUCAUAAGCCAUAGCCGCUUCUUCUGCUGUUCCAAAAGUCCCAAGCCAUAGUCUACCUCCUUUUCUUGAUGAAUCUCUUAUUUCAGCUGCAUAUGUGCCCCAUGGCCGCCUUCUCACCCCGCGAUAAUGUCUUGUAACAACCUUCUUGACCUUCAUUUCAUCAGCUCCCGAAUCCAUCUUCUUGCUACUGCAUGUUUCUUGUGAAUCAACAGUCCUUGAUGACUCUGUAUUGUUUGGAAGAUUUGCUCCAUCUAGAGGUUGCUCCCAUGCUUCGGCUCCCAUGGAUAUAAACGUGCCUAAACUUGGAAGCCUUUCUAGUAGUGAUCCGUCUCUGGAAUUUAGUCCAGGCAAGUCAUCCCAUGUUUGGGAAGAUUCAACUGGAUUUUGGUGUGCAUUUUCUAACUCACUCUUGGCUAUAUAAUUAGCCCAAACAUUCUCCAAAAUCGUGGAUUUCUCGUCUUGAGCCAUUCCACUUGAAGCGAAUAUUCUAUUAACUUGAUAAGGCAUAGAGAAACAGAGAAUGAUCAGGGAAUGUUCUCCUCGAUUUGCAUAGCUUUAUAUACAUUGCCUUGGUCUUUGAUUUUGAUGGCUCCACUAGCUACGGUUUAUCCGAGUACAUGAAUAGGUAAUCCAGUAAGAUGCUUGUGCUGCAAAUUAGCUAACUUCAAGGAUGAUACCUGAUACCAGGGUGUAGACAACAAGAAAAGUAGCUGGCUUGAGUUCUUUUAAAUUGAUUGCUGGAAAAGUACUCGUUUGAAUUUGUCAUUCAUUUUAAGUGGAAUAUGCUUAUGGUGUGAUUUCAUGGAUAUCUUCCCUGCACUCAACGGUAAUCGUGAUAUAAGGGAAAAUUUUUUUAAAAAUAUCUCAAAAAAAUGCUUAUACUUGGAAGGUUGUACAGUAGUAUUUGGAAAUAGAUUUGAAUCAUUGUGCUCUUUACAAGCUCUCUGGGAUUACACUAACUCCACGCCACCAGCCUUCAUGGGAAAGAUUUUUAGUAGUAACACUUUUCAGGUUCAUUUGGAUGGUCCAUUUUUUUUUAUUAGAGGAAAAUGGAAGGCCCAAACUCCAAAAACUAAAACUUGGCUCUUUUUUCGAGUUUUUUUUUCUACUCUCCCAUCUCUUUUCACACCCUUUCCACCUCCAAUUAUCAAACACAAUAUUUGAAUUUUGAACCUAACAGUAGAAAAAACUUCAAGAAUCCUUUCCUAGUCGGUGAACCAAUCCUCAGCUUUCAUAUGAGGGAAUAAACAUGCACAAAUACUUAUGAAGCAGCUCAUGCGCAAUUUGUCGGAUUUGAUGGUUUGUGAUUUAUAAUAUAAUUUUUCUUAUUUUGUAAUUUUGUUAAAUAUAAUAAAUUUUCAAAUUAGAUAUAUCCGUAACAUGUUCUAUAUAUUUUUUGUCAUUAGUGCAGUUUUUUCUGUUAGACAAAUCAUAUUGGACGAUAACUAACUAAUUUAUUAAUAAUAUUGACCCCUAUUUUAUUUGAAAAAAAAAAAAGAAGAAAGCAAGGAUAGGGAGAAAGAGAUUUUUUUUUUCUUUUGUCAAAAGGGAGAAAGAGAUUGAUCAUCUGAAAAAUAACAUUUCGAAUGAUUUCAAAUAUAAAAUAGAAUAGGUUACACAACCGUUCGGAUCUCGAAAAAAAAAAAGAAAAAAGAAAAAAGAAUGGCUUCAAUCAACUUCCUCACCGCUUAAAAUAUUACCAGCUUCGAUUCUUUUCCCCGGCACCUUCCUGUAACAUACCUAAACUGUAUCCAACUAGAGAAAAGAGAUCACAAUAAAAUCUUGGGCUGACCGAAAUUUCUUUUGAACUUGGCGAGAUGGGGCAAUCGGAGGAGGCCCUGGUAAAGAUAUGAUCAAAAAAUAUUCGUGUGUCACCACCAAUUAGUCAAAAUUGCUUGCUGGUCAAGGUUAAAAUAUACUAAUUUGUUUGUGUGUGUGAACUUGAAAAAGUCUUUUAUUUCUUCUCAUUUUCGUUUUCUGAAGACUUCAAUACUAUUCUGCAUAAGCAAAGGGAAGACGUUUCCUUGGUGAUACUUCAUCCAGAACAAGACCAAAGAGAAAUGACAAGGAACUAAGGGAUGGAUUUUAAAUUGUAGGCUUCCGUGAUCACGAAGAUUAAAGAUACUUUAGCUAGCAAACAUUCCUACAUCCAUUGGAAUUGCUUGCUUUGAUUCUGUGCAAGAAAAAAACAUUCAUGCAUUGCACUUUUGUGAUUCCAAAACUUAGAUUCCUAAAAGUCCAACUCAAGCUUUGAUGGAACAAAAUUAUUACAACGCAAACAAUCAGCUGUAGCAGAUUGAAGGAUUAAAUUUUAUUAUUAUAUCUGUAUUCUGUAAUUUUUUUUUUUUUUUUAAAAAAUGACAUGCGACAUCAUGUUACUUUUCAGGCCUGAGCUGUUUCGGUUUGAGCCCAGUACAUUUAGAUCUGAAAACUCGAAGCCCGUUUGAAAAUUACCUCAUUCUUUGCCUAUGUAACCCAUGAGUCCAUUGAAUUAGUCCAUUUUAGAAAAGCCUAUAUAACCUGUAUCACAAUCUGUGUUGGCAUUUCCACCAUCCCCAAAGGAUUUUUUUUUUUUUUUGUUGAAAAAAAAAAGUAUUAUAGAGAAGGAAAAAGAAGAAAUGCCAAAAGGAAUAGAAAUGGGAUGGUGACAAUCAGGCCUACGUAUUAAUUGUAGUAACACUAAAUGAUGAAAAUAAGAAGGAAAUUGAAAAAAAAAUAAAAAAAUCAAAGGCAUGGACGGAGCCACAUGUAUCUAGGUGUGGAUAAUUGCCCCCACUUAAAUUUGAGAAAAUCAACUAUUAGGUUUAGAAAUUUUAAAAAACUCUAAAAAUUACUUCUUAUUUGACCCCAUUAAAAUUUAAUGCAUCCUUUUUUCUUAUCUAUAUUGACCCCCCCCCUAAACAAUUAAAAAUUCAUAAUUAUUACCAUCUACGAGGAUUUUGGGACUCGUUAAAAUUAAUUUUCACAUCUAAAUUUAAGAACAAUACGAACUUCAUAACCUAUAUUAAACCUUAAAAAGAGAAACAAAAACAUCCAUUGAUUUAAACCAUCCAUACUAUUACUUCAUUUCAUGUAAUAUUAAAAAUCAACCCUCCCUCCUUACCCUAGGGUCUAAGCUCCGCCACUAAUCAACAGGAUCUCGAGAGAAUGAGUUGAAAAGAAUUCAAAAGUCUUGGUGCGGUUGCUUAAUUUUCAGGAGCACGACGGUUUCAUGCUUUUGCGGCUGUCCAGUUUCCAUGUAUUUAAUGUGGUUGAAGGAAGGCGUAAAAGAUUAAUUCAACAAACCCGCUGUUUUGCAAUUUCUAGUUAAUGUCUUGAUUGACAUUUAAGGUUUUGACUUUUAGAAAAUGAAUUCACUGCAACUCUGUCAAUUAAAUUCAUACUUCCUCUGCCAAUCUUCCAAGUGCAACUUUUGGUACAUGAAGCCAAAAUCAGAGGUUACCUAUGAUGGUCAUGUAAAUCUUUGUUGCACACGAAAAAUGAAGACUCCAAAAUGCACACGUAAAUCUUUGUUGCACAACAAAAUUGUGAAUGUGUAUAUUCCUAACCAACUCCAUUAUGACAAGUAUUUUUUUCUCCAAAAAAAAAAAAGAAAAAUAAAUGUACGAAUAUGUCGAACUCCUUUAUUUGUUGGACAUCUCGUUGUGACCAUAAAUAGGAUAACUAACCCCAACUCCUUUCGUGUCAGAUUGUUGCGGUAGCAAUAAGCGCUCGAAAAUGAAUUCUCCAUAUGGGUUUUGGCUGCCUCUUCUCAUUUGCUAUUCUCUGGUAUUCUUUUCAGCAAAUACCAUCGAAGCUGAAACAAAAUCAAGAAAGCUUCGGGAGCUGAUCUCCAAGAAUUCCAUUUCAUCUGUUGUUGUCUUUGGUGACUCCACAGUGGACCCUGGAAAUAAUGACUAUAUAGGAACUGCUUUUAAGAGCAACUUCCCACCUUAUGGGGAGGACUUCUUUGGCCACAUUCCUACCGGGCGAUUCAGCGAUGGACGGCUUGUUACUGACUAUUUGGGUAAGUUUUCCGGCUUCCCUUUACCUGCUUUUUUCUCCCUUUGCACCACAUUAUGGAGUCUGUUAACUACUUGUGGCUUUUGUUUGAGAUUGUUUAGCUGAAUAUGUGGGGUUAAAAGAAACAAUUCCGCCAUAUUUGGACCCAACACUUAGCGUGGAGGAGCUCAUAACCGGAGUCAGUUUUGCUUCUGCGGGGUCCGGAUUCGACCCUCUUACAGCUAAACUAAGUGUACGUCUGGCUCUCAUUCUCUUGCGUGUGUCUCCGAGAUUUUUCUUCCCGUUCCAUGACAGUUUUACAAUAAUGAAGGAGUAAUUGUGUAAUUGGUACUCCUGUUCUGCUAGGAUUGGUUUCGGAUUUGCAUGGCAGAAAAGUGGCUCACUCAUAAAUCCACAAAAUAAUCUUGAACAGAUUUUGUGAUUCAUGUUUGGACAAAAUUAAUAAAAAGGAGUACCUUUUUUUAAGGUGUGAUGUAUGUACGCUUAAAAAAAUAAUUGAAAAUUGUGUUAAAAGAAUGUUUUCACAAAACCUGUUUUAUGUUUGUACAAAAGAAGCAGCAGUUCAGACAAGACCAAAAUCGUAGUAGUAGUGAUCCAGUAUCAGGUAUGACCGUGCAGAGUAGUUCAUUUCUUUAAUUAUUCUGCAACCAUUGAGUUCUGACCAUAAAUACAGCGUUUGUCAUAUUUCGUCACAUCUCCAUUGUCCACCUUGAUAAUUAUUGAUCUACUGGUGAUAUUUCCUGCUUCGGUAUGUAGCAAAUAUGUACGUGUGAUGAUGACCGUAAUCGAAUCCAUUCAAACGUUUUUACAUAAAAAAAAAUAGUAAAUAUGCAGAAAUUCUAUAAUAGGCUAUCCACGUUGAACUAUCGCAUUAUAACUAUACUCUCUCUCUCACAUACACACAAGAAAAAAGAACCUGCUAGUCUUCAUCCCUAUAUUUGGAGUUCCAAUUGACGAGGGGCAAUUUAAAAUAGAAUUACUCACAAAUAAUGGAUUUAAAUCAAACGUGCUCUAAAAGUGCAUGUGAUAAAAUUUGAAUCUUCAUAUAGCCCCGUCAUGAAUUGUAUAAAUAUUCACUUUACUCCCUGUGAUUUUUGCAUUUAUCCACGUAAUUCCUCUAUGUUCUUAUACAAGGUAAUUAAGCCGUCGAUUGAUUUAGCAUUUAAGUAAGGAUACUAUUGAUAUUUCAAUUAACAACGUUAUAUAUGUUAAUUUUCGUCAAGUUUCCACUUUAUAUAAAAUCAUAGGGGAUGAAGUGGACAAUUUGAAACGUUAGAGGGGUUAUGUGGUAAUAGAUGAAACCACAUGGGGCCAGGCUACAUGUUACUUACCCUAUUAUUUACUUUGUGCUCUUUGAUAAAAUGCAAUAGUUUAAGGUGACAUAGUUUCCUUCUUUGCCGCUUCCAGUAAUUAAAAAAAAUUGCAAGAAAAUUCUUGGCUGUGCACCUCCUGAGACACUUAAACUGUGUAGAGUCGAGUAACACUAAUCACUAAUUAGAAUCAACGUCUCAGAAGCUAUAGUUAACACGUUAUGUAUUGUUGCAGAAUCCCAGAAGCAAGAACAAGUAAUAACGUAAGAGAUUGUCAAAGGAACUACAAUCUAAUAUCGUAUUGGUGCUUUUAUAACGUGCUAAAUGUGGCACCUGCACACAAUUAUGUACACGAAUACGUACACAUUCGUACUUGUAGGUAUUUUUGGACUCUUGGGCAUUAGGAUAUCUUUGAGUUACUGGUAAAGAUGAUCUGCUUUUACACUCUUUUUUGGUAGUUUGGUUGUUUUGCUGGAAAUUUUCUUGAUAAGAAAGGCCAAUUCCUUGUGACUUUAAGCAUGCAUAUUUGCAGGAAUAAGUUUUAACUAGUAACUGUAAAUUCUAAAAACCAGGUGAUGAUGCUUCACCAAUAAUAGUCCUUUUGAACAUACGUACGUUAUGGACAUGCCAUAAUGUAAACCAGUUGCUUUACAGAAAUUAUUACCUUUCUGGUAUAAUAAAUUAAUAAUGUACGUAGAUCGAGUAGCAGAAAGACACUUCAUCUGUAAUUAAAGAAAGAAAGAAAAAACUUAAAUCAGUCAUGUAGAAGUUACUCCAAUUAUAUUUCCUGAAAAAGUAGUUCAAUUAGUUUGGUAUGUUUUAUGAUGUGGCAGGGUGUAAUUCCAAUGCAGCAGCAACUAAAUUAUUUCAGAGAAUACAAAGCAAGAAUUGAAAAAGCCAUUGGAGAGAAGAAAGCAAAAGAGCUGAUUAACAAGGCCGCCUUUCUAAUAAGCUGCGGCACAAACGACUACGUGGUCAAUUACUUCAAUGACCCGAUUAUGCAAAUUAACUACACGGUCUCAGCUUACCAGAAGUUCUUGUUAGACAAUGCCCACCAACUUCUCAAGGUUAGUCUUCUAAAUCUUUUCAUUAUUAAGCAUGCAUGCCAAUUAUUCUAAACCUUGUAACUGCAAAAAUUCCUAGGAUUAUUUAAUUAGUGGGUUCGCAGCUUAUGACUAUAUAUAAAUUGUGGCCUAAAAAGGGGAAAAAAACUAUGAAAGUAUGUAGAUAUUGUAGCCCAAGUGGUAGAUAUGUAGGGCCUGACGAAGUCAUGCUCUGAUUUCUAACUUUACACCCCCAGUAAUGAAGAUGGCACCGGAAUUUAUUUUUUAAAGUAAAUUGAAGAAAAAAUCAUUGAUUAGGAUUUAGGGAAAAUGUUAAAGAAACUUUCUAAGACAGAUAAUCCCUUAAUGAGUUAUUUGGUUGGAUUUCUCUUCUUCUUUUUUUUUUUUUUGGACACAAUAGAUUCUAGUUAACGCCUACUCCUACUCUCUAUUUGGGAGAAAGGGGAAUCCAAAGUAGGGCUGUCAACGGGCCGGAUCCGGGCCGGAAUUCAUUAUUCCGGACCCAGACUCGAAUUACUAUGUCGGAUCCGGACCCGACCCGUUUAUCCGACGGGUCUUUUAUUCUACGUUCCGGAUCCGGAUCCGGCGGUCCCGGAUCCGGAUCCUGGUCUACCCGAACAAAUUUACCAAAUUUUAUAAUUUCUAAUAAAAAUGAGAAAAAAAUAUAUUUGUAAACUAAUUUCUAACUAAUGCAAAGAAAAAAUCAAAUAAGAAAAGAAAUCAAAUUAAUUUUAUUAAAAUACAUCACCCUAAUCAAAUUAUAUUGAUAAAUAUAUAUUUUUUAAAUUAUUAAUUCAUUUAUAUCCGGAUCCGGGUCUAAUACGGGUUGGAAUACUAUAUUCCGUAUCCGACCCGUUUUUUUGUUUGACAAAACGGAUCCGGGAAACGGAAUUAAAUCCCUACCCAUACCCGCAAUAAUUUCACGGAUCCGGUCCGGAUCCGGGUCUAGACCCGACCCGUUGACAGGCCUAAUCCAAAGGAAUAAAGGGAAGAGAAUUUGGAGGAAACUGAAUUGUAACCAGACCAGUCAAACUAGUGAAAAUUUUAGAAUGCAAGUUAAGGGAUUUGAUUUCUUAACCUAUAUCCAGAAGAAUAUUAAAAUCUCUUUCUAGUAUUCAGCUACUCUAUAAGUGGUUGGUUAAAAUACGGUUGGAUUUCAGGUUACUAAAAAUAUUUAAGGGCAUGCUGACACUUUCAACAAACAUUUAUUUUGCAUUAGUUUCGUCCAGGCUGUCCUACUGGGUUCCGUACACACAAUGUGGAGCUUCGUGGUGAGUUUUCCACCAUGGCCACCGCAGCCUCGUCCCUCUCAGCCCCUCUUUUUGCGAAUGUGGUUAUUUUUGUCCCAGCCAUCUUUGAAGUUUCGGGUGAAAUUGAAUUUUUCAACAAAUAGACUAAUUUUUAAUAUUUUUUGUCUCACAUAUAUUAUAUUAUUAAAAUUAACAUGUAAUCAGAUAAUCUUUCAUCUAAAGUUUAACCACAUUAUUAAUUUAUGGUCAUAGAAAAAAGAAUAAGAUCAAUGGUUAACUGGGGAAGGAUUGGUUGGGUGUUACGAGGGGAGGACGAUAAGUAAGAAGUCCUAUAUUCAAAAUCUCCCACUUACAAAAAAAAAAAA